AUACAUUGAUUUGACAGACCUUCUAUAGGUACUUAUUUCCUGCCAAGGUUUUCACUACAGGUGCAAGAAAAAAGUGUCCUUGGGCUUUCUGCCUGUCUUAUUGUGACAGCACAGAUUGAGUGGGAGAAUACAGAA
This is a small nucleolar RNA of Sorex fumeus (smoky shrew), 135 nucleotides long. RefSeq annotates it as small nucleolar RNA SNORA31. NCBI's taxonomy places the organism in Eukaryota, Metazoa, Chordata, Mammalia, Eulipotyphla, Soricidae. The transcript has a single exon. The record is from RefSeq and is a predicted model, not a curated record.